GUAACCUUCAAUGAUUUUCUGUUUGAAUGCAUUCAUGUGCUUUAAUUAUUGAUUCAGUUAGGUUUUAUUUUCAUUUAAAUUAUGUUGCAGUAGUGUUUAAUGCCCUUCCAUUGGCAAUAGUGCACCUGCUGCUUGAUAUUUUACACGGAUCCCACAGUCACGGAGACGAGUUGUCUUAAAUAAUGAACUUGCCAUUCUCUGUAGAGAACAAGUGGAGGCUUCUUGGCAUGAUGGUGCUGUUCUUUGGCAGUGGAUUCGCCUUCCCAUUCAUUGUUGUCAGGCAUCAGAUCCUGAAGAAGUGAAGCUCCUUCCAGCCACACAUUGUCAGUGUGAUUCUUGUGCAACACAGCUCUCAGUUUCUUCUGGUGUGGAUCCUGUAAUGUUAUUGUAAAUAAAAUGACCAAUGACA
Cyprinus carpio carpio is the source of this 409-nucleotide long non-coding RNA. The record is from Ensembl. NCBI's taxonomy places the organism in Eukaryota, Metazoa, Chordata, Actinopteri, Cypriniformes, Cyprinidae.